This 253-nucleotide ribosomal RNA is filed under the name uncultured bacterium. Its description in RNAcentral is "partial 16S ribosomal RNA". It matches the Rfam family "Bacterial small subunit ribosomal RNA", at positions 524 to 776 of the family's 1533-position model. The record is from RNAcentral.
UACGAAGGGGACUAGCGUUGUUCGGAAUCACUGGGCGUAAAGCGCACGUAGGCGGAUGUGUCAGUCAGGGGUGAAAUCCCGGGGCUCAACCUCGGAACUGCCUUUGAUACAGCACGUCUCGAGUCCGGAAGAGGUGGGUGGAAUUCCUAGUGUAGAGGUGAAAUUCGUAGAUAUUCGCAAGAACACCAGUGGCGAAGGCGGCUCACUGGCCCGAUACUGACGCUGAGGCACGAAAGCGUGGGGAGCAAACAGG